RNAcentral lists this transfer RNA (79 nucleotides) under Asaia bogorensis NBRC 16594. RNAcentral's name for it is "tRNA-Arg". It matches the Rfam family "tRNA". From Rfam's summary of the family: Transfer RNA (tRNA) molecules are approximately 80 nucleotides in length. Their secondary structure includes four short double-helical elements and three loops (D, anti-codon, and T loops). Lineage: Bacteria; Pseudomonadati; Pseudomonadota; Alphaproteobacteria; Acetobacterales; Acetobacteraceae. The record is from RNAcentral.
GUCCGCGUAGCUCAGCAGGAUAGAGCACAGGAUUCCUAGAAUCCUGGGGCCGUGGGUUCGAAUCCCGCCGCGGACACCA